This 459-nucleotide long non-coding RNA is filed under the name Brassica napus (rape). RNAcentral describes it as "long non-coding RNA (BNAP_LNC021635)". The record is from RNAcentral. Lineage: Eukaryota; Viridiplantae; Streptophyta; Magnoliopsida; Brassicales; Brassicaceae.
UGAUAAGGACUCAUGUAUGCAAAAUGCAACCUAAACAUGGCUAAAUCAUAAUCUAUAUGAUCAAAAUGCACAUGGGUGAAUGGAUAAAACAUUAGAAAUAUGCAAGAUAUCACCAGACCUCUCUCACGCUCCCUCCUCUCUCUUGCUCGCCUUCAGGACUCCUCUCUAGCCGGAUUUUCUCUCUCUCUCUCUCUCUCUCUCUCUCUCUCUCUCUCUCUCUCGCCUCUCUCUCUCUAGCCGGACCUCCCUCACGGUUAACUCUCUCUCUCUAUGUCGGUGUCUAUGUGUGUGUCAGUUUUGAUUCCGAUUUGUUUUUGUAAGUGGUGGAGGAGAUUGGACAUGAAGCCUCACGGAGGAGGCUCCUCGCCGUGACUUUUCCGACGUUUCUUUCCAUCCCAGCAACCUCAGUAAGUUGGAUAGUUAUUAGAUGUUCAUUGUUACCUACUAAAACAGUUUCGU